RNAcentral lists this ribosomal RNA (637 nucleotides) under uncultured bacterium. RNAcentral describes it as "bacterial SSU rRNA". It matches the Rfam family "Bacterial small subunit ribosomal RNA", at positions 607 to 1244 of the family's 1533-position model. The record is from RNAcentral.
GCUCAACCGAGGAAGUGCUUCGAAAACUGGUAAACUUGAGUGCAGAAGAGGAAAGUGGAACUCCAUGUGUAGCGGUGGAAUGCGUAGAUAUAUGGAAGAACACCAGUGGCGAAGGCGGCUUUCUGGUCUGUAACUGUCGCUGAGAUUCGAAAGCAUGGGUAGCAAACAGGAUUAGAUACCCUGGUAGUCCAUGCCGUAAACGAUGAGUGCUAAGUGUUGGAGGGUUUCCGCCCUUCAGUGCUGCAGCUAACGCAUUAAGCACUCCGCCUGGGGAGUACGAUCGCAAGAUUGAAACUCAAAGGAAUUGACGGGGGCCCGCACAAGCGGUGGAGCAUGUGGUUUAAUUCGAAGCAACGCGAAGAACCUUACCAGGUCUUGACAUACCAUGAAAAGCUAAGAGAUUAGUCUUUCCCUUCGGGGACAUGGAUACAGGUGGUGCAUGGUUGUCGUCAGCUCGUGUCGUGAGAUGUUGGGUUAAGUCCCGCAACGAGCGCAACUCUUAUUAUCAGUUGCCAGCAUUCAGUUGGGCACUCUGGUGAGACUGCCGGUGACAAACCGGAGGAAGGUGGGGACGACGUCAGAUCAUCAUGCCCCUUAUGACCUGGGCUACACACGUGCUACAAUGGUCGGUACAACG